UGAAUCAUCUACUACACCCUGUGGAAACAAU
RNAcentral lists this non-coding RNA (31 nucleotides) under Mus musculus (house mouse). The record is from RNAcentral. Lineage: Eukaryota; Metazoa; Chordata; Mammalia; Rodentia; Muridae.